RNAcentral lists this ribosomal RNA (543 nucleotides) under Wickerhamiella pararugosa. RNAcentral's name for it is "eukaryotic LSU rRNA". It matches the Rfam family "Eukaryotic large subunit ribosomal RNA", at positions 62 to 648 of the family's 3401-position model. The record is from RNAcentral. Lineage: Eukaryota; Fungi; Ascomycota; Dipodascomycetes; Dipodascales; Trichomonascaceae.
AAACCAACAGGGAUUCCCUUAGUAACGGCGAGUGAACCGGGAAAAGCUCAAAUUUGAAAUCUGCCAACAGGCCGAGUUGUAAUUUGUAGAUGGCUACACUGCAUAAUAGUAGAUGCUCAAGUUCUUUGGAAAAAGACAUCAUGGAGGGUGACAAUCCCGUGAGGCAUGUUACUAGGAGCAUAUAGUGGGCUUUCUAAGAGUCGAGUUGUUUGGGAAUGCAGCUCAAAGUGCGUGGUGAAUACCAUGUAAAGCUAAAUAUGGACGAGAGACCGAUAGCGAACAAGUACUGUGAAGGAAAGAUGAAAAGCACUCCGAAAGGAGAGUGAAAUAGUACGUGAAAUUGUUAAAGUGGAAGGGCUUGAGAUCAGAAUUGGUAGUUUGGGUUCCACGUCCUCUUGGGGGCGUGUACUCCCUUUCCACCGGGCCAGCGGGAGUUUCGUCUCUUGGGUAAAAGCAGUGGAAUGUAGCAGCUUGUCUGUAUUAUAGCCUCUGUUCAUACAAGACGUCGAGACUUGAUUUGUUGGCGUAAUGAUCUCUAGNCAC